Molecule: ribosomal RNA, 443 nt
Filed under: uncultured bacterium
Lineage: Bacteria
Description: partial 16S ribosomal RNA
Rfam family: Bacterial small subunit ribosomal RNA
Source: RNAcentral
CCUACGGGAGGCAGCAGUGGGGAAUAUUGGGCAAUGGGCGCAAGCCUGACCCAGCCACGCCGCGUGAAGGAAGAAGGCUUUCGGGUUGUAAACUUCUUUUCUCAGGGACGAAGAAAGUGACGGUACCUGAGGAAUAAGCCACGGCUAACUACGUGCCUGCAGCCGCGGUAAUACGUAGGUGGCAAGCGUUAUACGGAUUUAUUGGGUGUAAAGGGCGUGUAGGCGGGAGCGCAAGUCAGAUGUGAAAACUCAGGGCUCAACCCUGAGCCUGCAUUUGAAACUGUGUUUCUUGAGUGCUGGGGAGGCAAGCGGAAUUCGGGGUGUAGCGGUGAAAUGCGUAGAUAUACGGAGGAACACCAGUGGCGAAGGCGGAUUGCUGGACAGUAACUGACGCUGAGGCGCGAAAGCGUGGGGAGCAAACAGGAUUAGAUACCCUUGUAGUC